GGUUAAGCGACUAAGCGUACACGGUGGAUGCCCUGGCAGUCAGAGGCGAUGAAGGACGUGCUAAUCUGCGAAAAGCGCCGGCGAGGUGAUAUGAACCUUUGACCCGGCGAUGUCCGAAUGGGGAAACCCAGUGCAAUUCGUUGCACUAUCGUUAACUGAAUACAUAGGUUAACGAGGCGAACCGGGGGAACUGAAACAUCUAAGUACCCCGAGGAAAAGAAAUCAACCGAGAUUCCCCCAGUAGCGGCGAGCGAACGGGGAGCAGCCCAGAGUCUGAAUCAGCUUGUGUGUUAGUGGAAGCGUCUGGAAAGUCGCACGGUACAGGGUGACAGUCCCGUACACGAAAAUGCACAGGUUGUGAACUCGAAGAGUAGGGCGGGACACGUGGUAUCCUGUCUGAAUAUGGGGGGACCAUCCUCCAAGGCUAAAUACUCCUGACUGACCGAUAGUGAACCAGUACCGUGAGGGAAAGGCGAAAAGAACCCCGGCGAGGGGAGUGAAAAAGAACCUGAAACCGUGUACGUACAAGCAGUGGGAGCACCUUCGUGGUGUGACUGCGUACCUUUUGUAUAAUGGGUCAGCGACUUAUAUUCUGUAGCAAGGUUAACCGUAUAGGGGAGCCGAAGGGAAACCGAGUCUUAACUGGGCGUUAAGUUGCAGGGUAUAGACCCGAAACCCGGUGAUCUAGCCAUGGGCAGGUUGAAGGUUGGGUAACACUAACUGGAGGACCGAACCGACUAAUGUUGAAAAAUUAGCGGAUGACUUGUGGCUGGGGGUGAAAGGCCAAUCAAACCGGGAGAUAGCUGGUUCUCCCCGAAAGCUAUUUAGGUAGCGCCUCGUGAACUCAUCUUCGGGGGUAGAGCACUGUUUCGGCUAGGGGGCCAUCCCGGCUUACCAACCCGAUGCAAACUACGAAUACCGAAGAAUGUUAUCACGGGAGACACACGGCGGGUGCUAACGUCCGUCGUGAAGAGGGAAACAACCCAGACCGCCAGCUAAGGUCCCAAAGUCAUGGUUAAGUGGGAAACGAUGUGGGAAGGCACAGACAGCCAGGAUGUUGGCUUAGAAGCAGCCAUCAUUUAAAGAAAGCGUAAUAGCUCACUGGUCGAGUCGGCCUGCGCGGAAGAUGUAACGGGGCUAAACCAUGCACCGAAGCUGCGGCAGCGACACUAUGUGUUGUUGGGUAGGGGAGCGUUCUGUAAGCCGUUGAAGGUGGCCUGUGAGGGUUGCUGGAGGUAUCAGAAGUGCGAAUGCUGACAUAAGUAACGAUAAAGCGGGUGAAAAGCCCGCUCGCCGGAAGACCAAGGGUUCCUGUCCAACGUUAAUCGGGGCAGGGUGAGUCGACCCCUAAGGCGAGGCCGAAAGGCGUAGUCGAUGGGAAACAGGUUAAUAUUCCUGUACUUGGUGUUACUGCGAAGGGGGGACGGAGAAGGCUAUGUUAGCCGGGCGACGGUUGUCCCGGUUUAAGCAUGUAGGCGGAACGAUUAGGUAAAUCCGGUCGUUUUUUAACGCUGAGGUGUGAUGACGAGGCACUACGGUGCUGAAGUAACAAAUGCCCUGCUUCCAGGAAAAGCCUCUAAGCAUCAGGUAACAUCAAAUCGUACCCCAAACCGACACAGGUGGUCAGGUAGAGAAUACCAAGGCGCUUGAGAGAACUCGGGUGAAGGAACUAGGCAAAAUGGUGCCGUAACUUCGGGAGAAGGCACGCUGAUAUGUAGGUGAAGCCCCUGCGGGUGGAGCUGAAAUCAGUCGAAGAUACCAGCUGGCUGCAACUGUUUAUUAAAAACACAGCACUGUGCAAACACGAAAGUGGACGUAUACGGUGUGACGCCUGCCCGGUGCCGGAAGGUUAAUUGAUGGGGUUAGCGGCAACGCGAAGCUCUUGAUCGAAGCCCCGGUAAACGGCGGCCGUAACUAUAACGGUCCUAAGGUAGCGAAAUUCCUUGUCGGGUAAGUUCCGACCUGCACGAAUGGCGUAAUGAUGGCCAGGCUGUCUCCACCCGAGACUCAGUGAAAUUGAACUCGCUGUGAAGAUGCAGUGUACCCGCGGCAAGACGGAAAGACCCCGUGAACCUUUACUAUAGCUUGACACUGAACACUGGUCCUUGAUGUGUAGGAUAGGUGGGAGGCUUUGAAGUGUGGACGCCAGUCUGCAUGGAGCCGUCCUUGAAAUACCACCCUUUAAUGGCUGGUGUUCUAACGUAGACCCGUGAUCCGGGUUGCGGACAGUGUCUGGUGGGUAGUUUGACUGGGGCGGUCUCCUCCCAAAGAGUAACGGAGGAGCACGAAGGUUAGCUAAUCCUGGUCGGACAUCAGGAGGUUAGUGCAAUGGCAUAAGCUAGCUUGACUGCGAGAGUGACGGCUCGAGCAGGUGCGAAAGCAGGUCAUAGUGAUCCGGUGGUUCUGAAUGGAAGGGCCAUCGCUCAACGGAUAAAAGGUACUCCGGGGAUAACAGGCUGAUACCGCCCAAGAGUUCAUAUCGACGGCGGUGUUUGGCACCUCGAUGUCGGCUCAUCACAUCCUGGGGCUGAAGUAGGUCCCAAGGGUAUGGCUGUUCGCCAUUUAAAGUGGUACGCGAGCUGGGUUUAGAACGUCGUGAGACAGUUCGGUCCCUAUCUGCCGUGGGCGCUGGAGAAUUGAGGGGGGCUGCUCCUAGUACGAGAGGACCGGAGUGGACGCAUCACUGGUGUUCGGGUUGUCAUGCCAAUGGCACUGCCCGGUAGCUAAAUGCGGAAAAGAUAAGUGCUGAAAGCAUCUAAGCACGAAACUUGCCCCGAGAUGAGUUCUCCCUGAGACUUUAAGUCUCCUGAAGGAACGUUGAAGACGACGACGUUGAUAGGUCGGGUGUGUAAGCGCAGCGAUGCGUUGAGCUAACCGAUACUAAUGAACCGUGAGGCUUAACCUU
Molecule: ribosomal RNA, 2905 nt
Filed under: Enterobacter roggenkampii
Lineage: Bacteria; Pseudomonadati; Pseudomonadota; Gammaproteobacteria; Enterobacterales; Enterobacteriaceae
Description: 23S ribosomal RNA
Rfam family: Bacterial large subunit ribosomal RNA
Source: RNAcentral